Molecule: RNA transcript, 1465 nt
Organism: Malania oleifera
Lineage: Eukaryota; Viridiplantae; Streptophyta; Magnoliopsida; Santalales; Ximeniaceae
Exons: 7
Source: RefSeq, a predicted model, not a curated record
AAUGAAUUAAUAAUAGUGCAGGCAAAGCAGUCUUACGCGACUCGGAAAUAGGGAAGCAGUCGUUCAGCUCAGCUUCACCGGCUCUCAACUCUUCCUUCUGCCCAUCGAUUCGCUUAUCCGUUCCAGCUUUGGAUUCUCAUUUUGUUGUAAAAUGUUCGACAUAACAACAAUGAAUCGCGGCGAACUUACGCUGCUCGGAACUGCAUUCUGUGUGAUGCUUUCAAUGCAUUUUACAAUACAGCUCCUGUCACAGCAUCUCUUUUAUUGGAAGAAUCCGAAGGAGCAAAAGGCUAUAAUAAUUAUCAUCCUUAUGGUUCCCAUAUAUGCUAUUGAUUCAUUUAUUGGCCUUCUGGAUUUUCGGGGAAGUACAGCAUUCUUUAUGUUACUGGACUCUAUUAAGGAAUGUUAUGAAGCUGUGGCGAUUGCUAAGUUCUUGGCUUUGAUGUAUAGUUACUUGAACAUAUCCAUGAGCAAGGGCAUAGUGCCAGACGAAAUUAAAGGAAGAGAAAUUCACCACUCAUUUCCAAUGACUCUUUUCCAGCCUCAUACUGUUCAUCUGAACCACCGUACCCUGAAGCUCUUGAAAAACUGGACAUGGCAGUUUGUCAUUAUCCGCCCAGUAUGCUCUAUUUUGAUGAUAGCAUUACAGCUUCUUGGGUUAUAUUCAAGUUGGGUCAGCUGGACAUUCACCAUCAUUCUCAACAUUUCAGUUUCACUGGCUCUUUAUUCUCUUGUGGUUUUUUACCAUGUAUUUGCAAAGGAAUUACAACCACAUAAGCCACUUGCAAAGUUUCUCUGCAUUAAAGGGAUUGUCUUCUUCUGCUUUUGGCAGGGAAUAGUGCUUGACAUUCUAGUCUCACUGGGCAUAAUCCGAUCUCAUCAUUUCUGGCUGGAUGUGGAGCACAUCCAGGAAGGUAUUCAGAAUGUCUUGGUUUGUCUGGAAAUGGUUGUCUUUUCAGUUCUCCAGCAGUAUGCAUACCAUUGGGCACCUUACAGUGGAGAAGUCGAGUCAAUGAUGUUAAACAAGAAAAGGGAAUAGUAUGGUGGGAUUGCAUGCAUUGAGCCUUUAUUAGGUUUUCCAUACAGUGUUGGAGCUUUAUGCACAGUAUUAUAAGUGAUUUGUUGCACAACUUUUUGGCAAGUGGGAGUACCAGAUGUAUAUAACUAGAAGCAUGCCAGAUGAUGCAAUCAACCUUUGUGGUGAAGUUGGUGAUUGGGAUAAAGAUGGUGAAAGUGUGGUGCACUACUGCAAAAUGGGGUUUUCUUCCCCACCAAAUGGGAUCCAUAUGUAAAGGUUAGCAGGACCACCAAAUACUUGAAUUAUGCGCAUGCUCACAAUUGAUCUGAAGUAUAGCUAAAAGUCAGGGAACACUUUAGUAAAUUCCAAAGAACUUUUUACAUGGGGAUCAUGGACAGCCUAUGCUAAUACUAGCUUCUAAAUAAGUCCUAAUCUGCAAAUUUUCUC